This 492-nucleotide ribosomal RNA is filed under the name uncultured bacterium. RNAcentral describes it as "partial 16S ribosomal RNA". It matches the Rfam family "Bacterial small subunit ribosomal RNA", at positions 29 to 507 of the family's 1533-position model. The record is from RNAcentral.
AGUGAACGCUGGCGGUAGGCCUAACACAUGCAAGUCGAACGGCAGCACAGUAAGAGCUUGCUCUUACGGGUGGCGAGUGGCGGACGGGUGAGGAAUACAUCGGAAUCUACUUUUUCGUGGGGGAUAACGUAGGGAAACUUACGCUAAUACCGCAUACGACCUACGGGUGAAAGCAGGGGAUCUUCGGACUUUGCGCGAUUGAAUGAGCCGAUGUCGGAUUAGCUAGUUGGCGGGGUAAAGGCCCACCAAGGCGACGAUCCGUAGCUGGUCUGAGAGGAUGAUCAGCCACACUGGAACUGAGACACGGUCCAGACUCCUACGGGAGGCAGCAGUGGGGAAUAUUGGACAAAGGGCGCAAGCCUGAUCCAGCCAUACCGCGUGGGUGAAGAAGGCCUUCGGGUUGUAAAGCCCUUUUGUUGGGAAAGAAAAGCAGCAGGUUAAUACCCCGCUGUUCUGACGGUACCCAAAGAAUAAGCACCGGCUAACUUCGUG